Molecule: long non-coding RNA, 1202 nt
Filed under: Chlamydomonas reinhardtii
Lineage: Eukaryota; Viridiplantae; Chlorophyta; Chlorophyceae; Chlamydomonadales; Chlamydomonadaceae
Description: long non-coding RNA (CREI_LNC000886)
Source: RNAcentral
CCUGACCAUUGCCGCGGCCUUUGGCGUGUCGGCCGCGCUGGAGGGCACGGGUGUGGCUGCGUCCUUCGCCAACGGUAUCAUCUCCAUCGGCAAGAACCUGCACAGCGACGGCGCGGCUCUCAUUGCCAGUGAGUGGGAAGGCCAGUACAGGCUGUCACGUAACAAGGAGGCCCACUUCGUACACGACGGCAGGGGUAUGUUCAGCUGGUUGCAACUGCCGCAAGCGUCGUCUUUGGUUCGCACCUGCCUCGGACUUCAUGUACACUUCUAACAAGCUCUCACCCCGCUCAUGCCUCGUCCCCUCGCCUUCGCCUUCCCCAACGCGCAGUUUACAUUGCCAGUGAGUCGGGUACAGGAUACGCUGUAGCAUGUGUCGCAUGGUGCCCUUUGAAAGCCCCACAGGUUUAUGCCAUAGGCUCAUAGUCAGUUCAGCAGCAGCAGUGUAGCCUGUCACAACCGGGUUGCAACUUCCUGAUUAUAAUUUCUCCCUUCCACCUGGCCCCUGAACAGCUGCGAUGUUGUCCGAGCUGCUGACCAACAAUGCCGCCGGCGCCAUCAUGUACCCCAUCGCCGCCAUUGCGGGUGAGAAACGUGGGCAGGCGUGGGUAGGCUUGUGGAGAAGGAAGCAACAGGAGCGCAAUGCCCGUGUGAGCGCGUUACACCAUCUGCCGCAAUUCAAUGGGUUCGCGCGCUAAACCACCAUCCAAUUCCCUGAACAGGUGACGCGCUCAAGAUCUCACCCAAGGAGACCUCUGUGGCCAUCAUGCUGGGCGCCUCGGCCGGCUUCAUCAACCCCUUCUCCUACCAGUGCAACCUGAUGGUGUACGCUGCUGGCAACUAUAGCGUGCGCGAGUUCGCCAUCAUUGGCGCCCCGUUCCAAAUAUGGCUCAUGAUUGUCGCGGGCUUCAUCCUGUGCUACAUGAAGGAAUGGCACCAGGUGCGGAUUGGUACAUAAGACUCCAUUAAGAUGCCUCCGCAAAUGCAUGCAGAUGGUGGGCAUUGUGAUUGGUAACCCGCUCAGGGCCAACGGCGAUGCAGAAGCCGGCGUGCUCACCUUCCAUCUGAUGAUCUCCCGACCCCCCGUGUCCUGUAGGUCUGGAUCGUGUCCUGGAUCUGCACCGCCGGCAUCGUCCUCCUGCCGGCCCUGUAUUUCCUGCUGCCGACCAAGGUUCAGCUCCGCAUCGAUGCAUUCUUCGAUCGGG